AACGAACGCUGGCGGCGUGCCUAACACAUGCAAGUCGUGCGAGAAAGUUCCUUCGGGAGCGAGUAAAGCGGCGCACGGGUGAGUAACACGUAGGUAACCUGCCCCCCAGUCUGGAACAACUAGAGGAAACUCUAGCUAAUGCCGGAUGAGACCACGAUCCCUUCGGGGGUUGCGGCCAAAGAUGGCCUCUACUUGUAAGCUAUCGCUGAGGGAUGGGCCUGCGGGCCAUUAGCUUGUUGGUGAGGUAACGGCUCACCAAGGCUGUGAUGGCUAGCUGGUCUGAGAGGAUGACCAGCCACACUGGGACUGAGACACGGCCCAGACUCCUACGGGAGGCAGCAGUGGGGAAUAUUGCGCAAUGGGCGAAAGGCCUGACGCAGCGACGCCGCGUGGGUGAUGAAGGCUUUCGGGGUCGUAAAGCCCUGUCGCAGGGGAAGAAUAAGCAAUCGGUAUAAUACGCCGGUGCCCUGACGGUACCCUGCAAGAAGCACCGGCUAA
Molecule: ribosomal RNA, 498 nt
Filed under: uncultured bacterium
Lineage: Bacteria
Description: bacterial SSU rRNA
Rfam family: Bacterial small subunit ribosomal RNA
Source: RNAcentral